CCUACGGGUCGCACCAGUGAGGAAUAUUGGUCAAUGGACGGAAGUCUGAACCAGCCAUGCCGCGUGAAGGAUGAAGGCGUUCUGCGUUGUAAACUUCUUUUAUCUGGGAAGAAACCACAGAUUUCUAUUUGUGUUGACGGUACCAGAGGAAUAAGCACCGGCUAACUCCGUGCCAGCAGCCGCGGUAAUACGGAGGGUGCGAGCGUUAUCCGGAUUUACUGGGUUUAAAGGGUGCGUAGGCGGGCUAAUAAGUCAGAGGUGAAAUCUCCGGGCUCAACCUGGAAACUGCCUUUGAUACUAUUAGGCUUGAAUUAUGUUGAGGUUGGCGGAAUAUAACAUGUAGCGGUGAAAUGCUUAGAUAUGUUAUGGAACACCGAUUGCGAAGGCAGCUGGCUAAACAUACAUUGACGCUGAUGCACGAAAGCGUGGGUAGCGAACAGGAUUAGAUACCCUAGUAGUC
This 460-nucleotide ribosomal RNA is filed under the name uncultured bacterium. RNAcentral describes it as "bacterial SSU rRNA". It matches the Rfam family "Bacterial small subunit ribosomal RNA", at positions 338 to 795 of the family's 1533-position model. The record is from RNAcentral.